UGGGGAAUUUUGGACAAUGGGCGAAAGCCUGAUCCAGCAAUGCCGCGUGUGUGAAGAAGGCCUUCGGGUUGUAAAGCACUUUUGUCCGGAAAGAAAUCCUCUGGGUUAAUACCUCGGGGGGAUGACGGUACCGGAAGAAUAAGCACCGGCUAACUACGUGCCAGCAGCCGCGGUAAUACGUAGGGUGCAAGCGUUAAUCGGAAUUACUGGGCGUAAAGCGUGCGCAGGCGGUUUUGUAAGACGGAUGUGAAAUCCCCGGGGCUUAACCUGGGAACUGCAUUCGUGACUGCAAGGCUAGAGUAUGGCAGAGGGGUAGAAUUCCACGUGUAGCAGUGAAAUGCGUAGAGAUGUGGAGGAAUACCGAUGGCGAAGGCAGCCCCCUGGGCCAAUACUGACGCUCAUGCACGAAAGCGUGGGGAGCAAACAGGAUUAGGAUACCCCUGGGUAGUCCACGCCCUAAACGAUGUCAACUAGUUGUUGGGGAUUCAUUUCCUUAGUAACGUAGCUAACGCGUGAAGUUGACCGCCUGGGGG
RNAcentral lists this ribosomal RNA (533 nucleotides) under uncultured bacterium. Its description in RNAcentral is "partial 16S ribosomal RNA". It matches the Rfam family "Bacterial small subunit ribosomal RNA", at positions 355 to 879 of the family's 1533-position model. The record is from RNAcentral.